RNAcentral lists this long non-coding RNA (4899 nucleotides) under Gossypium barbadense (sea-island cotton). RNAcentral's name for it is "long non-coding RNA (GBAR_LNC016631)". Lineage: Eukaryota; Viridiplantae; Streptophyta; Magnoliopsida; Malvales; Malvaceae. The record is from RNAcentral.
CUGAUAUUUUCAUUAACAAAAAUCCAGAAGGCAUAAUGCCAUUACAUAUAAUAGAUAACAACAACAAAAUGAACAAGUCUUUACCUAAUGACAUACCUAACACCACUAAAUUUACAUUGGAAAUUGUUAAUCAGCUUGCUUAAGUUUCUUUGCUGAUUUUUCAGUCAAUCAAUCAACAAAAAAACAUCAUAAGGUUUACCAACUUAGUUCAACAUGAACUAGAUUACAAAAUAAUAAUUAAAAAUACAAUCAAAACAUAACAAGUAGUUAGGCAACUUCAAGCUCCAGUUUCUGCACUUCAUAGCUCGACUGCUUGCUGCCACUUCUCCUUGCAUGGCCACCUUUUCAUGUCUUGCAUGGGAACUAAAUUCAACACUCCUCCUUAGUUUCCAUGCUAGUGACACCUAAUUGCCUUCUUAAUUUAACAAAUUUAGACACAUUGAGUGCCUUUGUAAAGAUAUCAGCAAUUUGCUCUUCUGAAUUGCAAUGAACCAGCUAGAUUUCAUGAGCUUGCUCCAUCUCCCUUAUGACCUGUAGCUUGAUGUUGAAGUGCUUUGUUCUACCAUGAAAGAUAGGAUUCUUUGCAAUUGCAACAGCAGAUUUGUUGUCACAGUAAAUCUCUAUUGCCUUUCCUUGAUUUUGAUUUAAAUCAGCUAGGAUUUUUCUAAGCCAUAUGGCUUGAUUUACAGCAGAUGCAGUAGCAACAUAUUCAGCUUCUGCUGUUGACUGUGCUACCAGACUUUGCUUUUUAGAACUCCAGCAAAACAUGCCUGAGCCAAGACUAAAGGCAUAUCCAGAUGUGCUUCUCAUGUCAUCACAAGAUCCAGCCCAGCCACUAUCAACAUAGCCUAUCAGCUUCAUGUUUUCAGCCCUUUUGAACAAUACACCAUGAUCAAUAGUGCCUUUGAUGUAUCUAAGCACUCUUUUAGCUGCUUGAAAGUGCUGAUCAUUGCAGCAAUUCAUGUAUCUGGAUAGUACACUAACAGCAAACAUGAUAUCGGGUCUUGUUGCAGUCAAAUACAACAGACUACCAAUGAGACUUUUGUACAUAGUCUCGCAAAUUGGUUCACCACUCCCUUGCCUCGAAAGCUUCACUCCAACAGCCAUUGGUGUGCUUGUUGGCUUGCAGUUCUUCAUAGAGAACUUAUCCAGGAUCUUCAUAGUAAAAGAACUCUGACUAAGAAAGAUUCCCUUUGCUGUUUGCUUCACUUCCAUUCCAAGGAAGUAGUUCAUUCUGCCUAAAUCAGACAUUUCAAACAUUUCCAUCAUUUUUCUUUUGAAAUCUUCCAACAUUCUUCUAUCUCCUCCAGUCACCUAUAAAUCAUCAACAUAGAGUGACAGGAUAAGCUGAGUUUCAGCUUGGUUCUUCUUCACAUACAGUGUUGGUUCACUGAGAUUUCUCUCGAAUUCCAAACUGAGCAAGUAAGAAUCAAUUCGAGCAUACCAGGCUCGAGGAGCCUAUUUUAGGCCAUAUAAAGCCUUUUUCAGUCUGUACACCUUGUGUUCUUUGCCAGUGACCACAAAUCCUUGAGGCUGUUCGAUGUAGAUCUCUUCUUCCAGGAAACCAUUGAGAAAUGCAGACUUAACAUCAAGCUGAUGAAUGGUCCACUGAUGUUGAGCAGCCAAGGCAACUAUCAUUCUAACUGUGUCAAGCCUGGCUACUGGUGCAAAAGUCUCCAGAUAGUCCAGACCAUACCUUUGGCUAAAACCUUUGACAACAAGCCUGGCUUUUAGCUUGUUCAGACUGCCAUCUGCAUUCUGUUUUGCUCGAUAGACCCAUUUUACUCCAAUGGUCUUCUUUCCAGUAGGUUUAUCAACUAGCUCCCAUGUCUGGUUCUUCUCAAUCAUGUUGAUUUCAUCGACCAUAGCUAGUUUCCAGCCUUCAUCUACCUCAGCCUCUUCAAAACUGCUAGGUUCUGCUAUUGCAACCUGUGCCCUUUCAUAAAUAUCAUCUAGGGGCCUUGUGCCUCUCACAGGCACAUCAUCAACAUCCAUUUUAGGUCCUAGCUGCUCAAGUUCAGCUUGAUUAGGCACCAAGUCUUCUGAAGCAGCUUCUGGUUCAUUCUUUUCCCAAUUCCAGCAAGCCUUCUCAUCGAAGAUGACAUCUCUGCUCACUUGAACUAUGUUUGUCAAAGGAUCCAGCACCCUGUAGCCCUUCUUAACUAAGCUAUAGCCUACUAGAACACCUGGUUGAGCCCUUUCAGAGAGCUUGUCUCUCUUUGCUGCUGGUAUUUGUGCAUAACACAGGCAACCAAACACCUUCAGAUGUGCCAAGGAAGGCUUGAAACCGGACCAAGCCUCGAAAGGUGUUUUGGAUGCAAGAGCUUUGGUAGGAAGCCUAUUUUGAAGGUAGACAGCAGUGUUUACUGCCUCAGCCCACAUGGUCUUGGGCAGUUUCUUCUCAAACCGCAGGCACCUGGCCAUAUCCAUCAAGCUUCUGUUCUUUCUUUCUGAUACCCCAUUUUGCUGAGGUGUGUAGACAUUUGUAAGAUGGUGUUUGAUACCAGCAUCAUUGCAAAUGGCUUGAAACUGAGCUGAAGUGUACUCAGUGCCAUUGUCUGACCUUAUCGAUUUCAGCUUGCAACCUGUUUCUGUCUCUACAACAGUUUUAAACUUCACAAACACUUGAGCUACCUCAGACUUGUGUUUUAAGAAGAAAAUCCAGCAAAACCUUAUAAAAUCCUCAAUGAAGAGGAUGAAAUACCUAUUUUUGCUGAGUGAUUCAGUCCUCAUCGGGCCACAUACAUCAGAGUGCACCAGCUGCAGUUUUUCAGUAGCUCUCCAAGCUGAAUUUGUAGGAAAUGGCAGUCUUGCCUGUUUCCCCAUCUGGCAAACUUCACACACAUCAUCAUGCUCCACUGAGCUAGUAAAGUUCUCUGCCAAGCCUUCUUUGGCCAUUCGAGCCAAUGAUCUGAAGUUGGCAUGCCCAAGCCUUUGAUGCCAAAGCUUGGAAUCAUCAACAGAGGCUGUAUAUGCAGACUUUGAGUCAUUUGGCCAGUGUACCUCAAAGCAUUUGUCAGUCAUUGUGACUGUCAUAAGGCUUGAUCCACUUGGAUCAGCAAUGUGGCACUGUUUGUUCUUGAACACAACAAAAUAGCCUUUCUCGAGCAAUUGAGCUAUGCUGAGAAGGUUUCUGUCGAUUUCUGGCACUAACAGCACAUUUGGAAUGAUCUUGUUGCCUGUGGGGGUACAUAUCAGCACCUCUCCUCUUCUUUCAGCCCUUAUGAACUGACCAUUUCCAACCUUGACCUUGGUUUUGCAACUUCUAUCCAAGGUUUUAAAUAAGGAGGCAUCUGGUGACAUGUGGUUAGUGCAACCACUGUCCAAUAACCAGCCUUUUGAGCAUUUCUUCUCAGCAGCUAAGCAAGAAACAGCAAAGACCUACUUUUCUUGAUCACUACUGUCCUCAGCUACUCGAGCUUCAACCUUUGGUUGUUGAAAUUGACUCUGCCUUGACUUGGUUCUAUUUUUGCAAACCCUUUCAACAUGGCCUUUCUUCUUGCAGUGUUGGCAUACUGCAUCUGGCCUGAACCAGCAUCUGUCUUCUGGAUGACCUGGCCUCUUGCAAUGUCUACAGGGCUGGUCAUUGCUCCUUGCAGUAUCAGGCUUAGGCCUACUUUUCCAAGGCUUUUUACCUCUUGGAGCAUUGAUGCUCGAGGCUUCUCUGGCCUUGGCAUUGAAUGCACAUUCCUGGUGGUCUUCAGCUCUGCUAGCUCUCCUUUGUUCCUGAGCAUAGAAAGUGUUGAUUAGCUCAGUCAAAGAGAUGGUAGCAAGGUCUCUUGAGUCCUCAAGAGAGGAUAUCUAGGCCUCAUAUCUCUUAGGCAAAGUGGAGAGAACUUUCUCUACUAUCCUUGCCUCAUCAAAGUGCUCACCAAGGAGCCUUAUACUGUUAACCACUGCCAUGAUUCUAUCUGCAUACUGCUUCACUGUUUCUUCUUCCUUCAUCUUCAGGUUCCUCUCAAAUUCAAUAGCUGCUGUUGCCUUGUUCUCUCAGUGCCUUGAAACUCCUCCUUAAGCUUAUCCCAUGCCUGUUUUGGAGUCUCACAGGCCAUAAUUCUGGUGAAGAUGACAUCUGACACACAAUUCUGAAUGCAGGACAUGGCUUUGUGCCUUUUGGUCCUCUCAUCAGCAUGUUGCCUAAUCUGAGCUACUGUGGGAUUGGCCCUCAGUGGUGCUAGCUCAGCAUCUGUGUUGACAACUUCCUACAGAUCAAAGGCCUGUAGGUAAGUCUUCAUCUUGACCAGCCAUAUGUGGAAGCCUUCUCCAUUGAAGACUGGUGGGGCUGCUGGUGAAAAACUUGAGGAAGACAUUCAGCUUUCUUAGUUUGAUAAAACAGGUCCACUAAGAAUGAAGCUCUAGAUACCAAUUGUUGGUGCAAAGAGACAACAACAGACUGUUUUCAAUCUUGCUUGUAUAGCAAGCCUCGAGCCUUGCUGAAGAAACAAACUCAGAAGCAAGAACAGAAACACAUGCGAAUGAAAACAAAAGAAAUUGAGAGAGAGUAUUUUGAAUGAAAAGAGCUGAUAUUUUCAUUAACAAAAAUCCAGAAGGCAUAAUGCCAUUACAUAUAAUAGAUAAUAACAACAAAAUGAACAAGUCUUUACCUAAUGACAUACCUAACACCACUAAAUUUACAUUGGAAAUUGUUAAUCAGCUUGCUUAAGUUUCUUUGCUGAUUUUUCAGUCAAUCAAUCAACAAAAAAAACAUCAUAAGGUUUACCAACUUAGUUCAACAUGAACUAGAUUACAAAAUAAUAAUUAAAAAUACAAUCAAAACAUAACAAGUAGUUAGGCAACUUCAAGCUCCAGUUUCUGCACUUCAUAGCUCGACUGCUUGCUGCCACUUCUCCUUGCAUGGCCACCUUUGCAUGUCUUGCAUGGGAACUAAAUUCAACAUUU